RNAcentral lists this ribosomal RNA (390 nucleotides) under Haliotis madaka. Its description in RNAcentral is "SSU rRNA". It matches the Rfam family "Eukaryotic small subunit ribosomal RNA", at positions 1404 to 1789 of the family's 1831-position model. Lineage: Eukaryota; Metazoa; Mollusca; Gastropoda; Lepetellida; Haliotidae. The record is from RNAcentral.
AAACUUCUUAGAGGGACAGGUGGGGUAUAGCCACACGAAGUAGAGCAAUAACAGGUGUGUGAUGCCCUUAGAUGUCCAGGGCCGCACGCGCGCUACACUGAAAGAAUCAACGUGGAUGCCCACGUGCUCCGAGAGGAGUGGGAAACCCGAUGAAUCUCUUUCGUGAUGGGGAUUGGGGCUUGUAAUUAUUCCCCAUGAACGAGGAAUUCCCAGUAAGCGUCAGUCAUCAGCUGGCGUUGAUUACGUCCCUGCCCUUUGUACACACCGCCCGUCGCUACUACCGAUUGAAUGGUUUAGUGAGACCCUCGGACUGGAAUCCGUUUGCUGCUUUCGGGUGGCGGACGGGGACGGAAAGACGGUCGAACUUGAUCAUUUAGAGGAAGUAAACGU